UUGCUUUCAUGUAACGCAAAAGCUAUAAAAGCUUUCGUAAUGACAUAAAGAUCAUUGCAUUCAAAAAGGACUAACUUAUAUUUUGAUAUAUAACACUUGAAUUUACAUGCAAUAUUGAGCGAGAUACGACCAAAAUAAAGACAUUUAUCAUUUAACAAGUAUAACUACAUCGGUAAGAGUUGUUCAACGUUCAAACAUCAAUAGCGCAGUUCUUCU
Non-coding RNA from Paramuricea clavata, 216 nucleotides. Lineage: Eukaryota; Metazoa; Cnidaria; Anthozoa; Malacalcyonacea; Plexauridae. The record is from the annotation of a GenBank genome assembly.